This 600-nucleotide ribosomal RNA is filed under the name uncultured bacterium. RNAcentral describes it as "bacterial SSU rRNA". It matches the Rfam family "Bacterial small subunit ribosomal RNA", at positions 773 to 1371 of the family's 1533-position model. The record is from RNAcentral.
CCGGAUUAGAUACCCUGGUAGUCCACGCCGUAAACGAUGAGUGCUAAGUGUUAGAGGGUUUCCGCCCUUUAGUGCUGCAGCUAACGCAUUAAGCACUCCGCCUGGGGAGUACGGUCGCAAGACUGAAACUCAAAGGAAUUGACGGGGGCCCGCACAAGCGGUGGAGCAUGUGGUUUAAUUCGAAGCAACGCGAAGAACCUUACCAGGUCUUGACAUCCUCUGACAACUCUAGAGAUAGAGCGUUCCCCUUCGGGGGACAGAGUGACAGGUGGUGCAUGGUUGUCGUCAGCUCGUGUCGUGAGAUGUUGGGUUAAGUCCCGCAACGAGCGCAACCCUUGAUCUUAGUUGCCAGCAUUUAGUUGGGCACUCUAAGGUGACUGCCGGUGACAAACCGGAGGAAGGUGGGGAUGACGUCAAAUCAUCAUGCCCCUUAUGACCUGGGCUACACACGUGCUACAAUGGAUGGUACAAAGGGCUGCAAGACCGCGAGGUCAAGCCAAUCCCAUAAAACCAUUCUCAGUUCGGAUUGUAGGCUGCAACUCGCCUACAUGAAGCUGGAAUCGCUAGUAAUCGCGGAUCAGCAUGCCGCGGUGAAUACCU